ACAGCAACCUCCACCUCCUGGGUUCAAGUGAUUCUCAUGCCUCAGCCUCCAAGUGGCUGGGAUUACAGGCAUGCACCACCAUGCCUGGUUAACUUUGGUAUUUUUAGUAGAGACAGGGUUUUACCAUAUUGCCCAGGCUGGUCUCGAACCCCUGACCUCAGGUGAUCCACCUGCUUCAGCCUCCCAAAGUGCUGGGAUUACAGGCGUGAGCCACCAUGCCCGGCCUCAUUUCACCUCUUGAACUUGGGUUUUCUCAUGAGGCAGUUACACUUGAUUUAUAACGUUCCUCUCAGCUUUAAAAUUCCAUAAAAUUCCAGAAGCACUAUCUACUAGUGAAACAAUUUACUGGGAGAAGUAGUGAGUCCCCUGUCACUGGAAGCAUUCAAGCAGAGUGAGAAUAGCCAGUUGUCUGAUACGCUGUAGAGAGAAUUCCUACAUUAGGUAGGAGGUUAAUAUUUGAUUUAAAUAAUUAAGCCAAUAAUAAAAAGUAGCACUGAGUAUGUAAUAUGUGCCCAGCACUGCUCUAAGCAUUUACACACAUCUCAUUUGAUCUUUUCGGUAACUGCAUGGGGAGUGGGUACUAUCCCCAUUGUGCAGAGGCUACUCAGAUCAGGGGCAGCACUAACCAGAGAGCUCACAGCUAGAGAGAGAUGGAGAUUGGAAAUCAGAUUGUUGCGGCCCCCAGCAAGUCCUAAUCACCACCCAAUUCUGUCAGCAGCCUCGGGGUUCUGGGAUGGGCAUGUCUUCCCACUGGCCUGGGAUCUGGGUGCAAGGUGACGUGCCUGCCUCCUACCCCUCUCCAGGGCAGGAAAUUGAGCAUGGAAUGCAGACGGCAGGCUUGCCAACAAGGCCACUUUCCCACGGUCUACAGCAGAAAGAGGCUGCUUUCCGCUGCUUGGGCUGCAAAUGCUCUGAGCCCUUCACCGGCAGCCUUAUUUUACAGAAGGUGAAAGCUAAAACCUAGAAACGGCAAGCUACCUACCCAACGUCACAGAACAAACAAGUGGCACAGCUGGGAAACAUCUGCCUGGAGUCCUCACUUCCAGGCCAGUGCUUGAUGUUCUGUUUUUUUUUUUUUUGUUUUUUUUUUUUUGCAAGCUCCGCCUCCCGGGUUCUCGCCAUUCUCCUGCCUCAGCCUCCUGAGUAGCUGUGACUACAGGCACCCGCCACCGUGCCCGACUAAUUUUUUGUAUUUUUAGUAGAGACGGGGUUUCACCGUGGUCUCGAUCUCCUGACCUCGUGAUCCACCCGCCUCGGCCUUCUGUUUUGUUUUUAACUAAAUCACAUUACUGCAGUCGCUUACAUGUGACAGUCCCUCAGUUUUCUGUUCUGAAUAUAUCUCUUUUUAAUCAAGGCCUAUGCAUCAACUACAGCAAAUUGGAGAUUCCCAAGAGUGGCAAUUAUUCAAAACGAAACUCUGCCUAUGAUAUUCUAAAAAUUCUAAUCUAACCUCACUCCUGUGUCACACGAAACUCAUUUCUUGUUGGUCCUGAAUCCACACUUCUGCUCCUUUGAGGCAAGUUUCCCCCCUAACAUUGACCCCCAAUUACAUAUUAACCUUUGCCCCAGCUGUCACCCAGCAGAAUUCCCUCCGCAGUCCUCUCUGCUUAUCUGGCCUGCUGGGAACUCACCAUCAGACAGCACUGAGAAUUCAACAACUGUUUCUUUCUUUUUUUUUUUUUUUUCUCAAGAUCUGCUUUUAGGAGAAGCAAUCAUUUCAACACUGCAUUACAAAUGAACUUAUACCUCAGUCAGAAACAAGCAACCCCAUUCCCCACAUAAGCUAUUAUUACUAUUAUUUUUUGGACACGGAGUUUCACUCUGUUACCCAGGCUGGAGUGUAGUAGUGCCAUCUUGACUCACUACAACCUCCACCUCCCAGGUUCAAGUGAUUCUCCUGCUUCAGCCUCCCGAGUAGCUGGGAUUACAAGGGCCUGCCACCAUGCCCGGCUAAUUUUUGUAUUUUUUAGUAGAGACAGGGUUUCACCAUGUUGGCCAGGCUGGUCUCAAACUCCUGACCUCAAGUGAUCCACCUACCUUGGCUUCCCAAAGUGUCGGGAUUACAGGCAUGAGCUACUGCACCUGGCCUUUUUUUUUUUUUUUUUUUUUUUUUAUGGGCAAUAUGUAGUUUCAGAUCACAUGUUGGUUGGGGAUCAUCCUCUAAGAUGCACAUUCAUGUUCUGGAGGAUGACACAGUUAGAAACAGGUUUUAGAAUCCUGUGUGACCUUGGGCAGAUCUUUCAUCUGUUCUCAGUCACAUUUGUAAAACAUAGGCAAAGACUGUGGCGACCUCACAAAGAAUGUUUGCUGAAAGGAGAAAUGAGUGCUUUCUGGGCCAAUCCAUUCUCACCCUGUCGAAGUGAGACCCCACGUCUCACUUGAUCCUCAAGUGUAGUUGAAGAUUGUCACCAACAUCAUCCCCCUGGCCCGCCGCCUGUUGGCAUCAAGGUCACCUGCAGUGGGUCUUCCACACUGAGGGACUGUGCCCUUUGCCACUCAGCUGGGGCCCAAAACUCUGUUCUCCACAGGUCAUAGGGGGAUAUUAAUGGAAAUAUUGGCAAAUCUUACAAUGUAGAAAUAUAAAAAAGUUCUGUGUUAAAACUAUUGUAAGCAAACUGAGAAAGCAAUCAUGAAACUGGGAGAAAUAUGUGCAAGAAAUAUGUGCAAUCAUAUCACAGGCAGAGAUGAACUUCCCUAAUACAUAAAGAGCUUCCACUAUUCAAUAGGAAGAAGCCUACCAACACAAAAAUAAUAAACAGAAGUAAAGGAUAUAAACAUCUAGGUCACAGAAAAGGAAAUACAAACAGUUCUGGACAUUUUAUUUUAUUUUUUUUAAUUAAAAAAGUUGCCAGGCACGAUGGCUCACGCCUAUAAUCCCAGCACUUUGGGAGGCCGAGGCAGGCGGAUCAUGAGGACAAGAGAUCGAGACCAACCUGGCCAAUAUUGUGGACCCUCGUUUCUUCUAAAAACACAAAAAUUACGUGGGCAUGGUGCCGGGUGCCUAUAAUCUCAGUUACUCGGGAGGCUGAGGCAGGACAAUCGCUUGAACCCGGGAGCUGGAGGCUGCAGUGAGCCGAGAUUGCACCACUGCACUCCCGCCUGGCGAUAGAGACUCCGUCCAAAACAAAACAAAACAAAACAAAACAACAAACAAAAACUAAUGAACAAACAAAAAACAAACAAAAAAAAUACUGUACUAAGGGAACAAUUUUCCACCUAUCGUGUUGAGGAACAUAUUUAAGAGUUUUAUGGCUGGAUGCGGUGGCUCAUGCCUGUAAUCCCAGCACUUUGGGAGGCCAAGGCAGGUGGAUCAUCUGAGUUUGGGAGUUUGAGACCAGCCUGACCAACAUGGAGAAACCCCAUUUCUACUAAAAAUACAAAAUUAGCCGGGCAUGGUGGCGCAUGCCUCUAAUCCCAGCUACUCGGGAGGCUGAGACAGGAGAAUCGCUUGAACCUGGGAGGCAGAGGUUGUGGUGAGCUGAGAUUGCGCCAUUGCACUCCAGCCUGGGCAACAAGAGUGAAACUCCAUCUCAAAAAAAAAAAAAAAAGAGUUUUAUGACAUGCUUGUUAGAGCUGUGUGAGGAAAAAAGCAUUUCUAUACACUGAGGAUGAGAGGAUAUAUUAAAGUCACUUCUGUAAGGCAAUUUGGCAUCAAAUCACAAAUGCACAAACCCUUUGACUCAGGAAUACAGAUAUAUUCUGAUGCAUGCCAAAAUGUAUGAACAAGAUUUUUCAUUGCAAAAUUGUUUGUCAUCUUCUUAUACAGUGUAUGAAUACAAGAACUCUGGAAAUGUACAUCCAUAUUAUUGUAUAAUGCAAGCAUACAUUUUUAUUCUGCUUGUAAAUUUUUUCCUAAACUUAUACAUAUUUACUGAUAAAAUAAGCUAGCAUUGCUUUUACAUCAUGUUUAAAUAUGUAAACGUCAAUCUGUGUUUAACAAAAUUGAUUUAUUGCACUGAUGAAUUUUAUUUCAAAAGUUAUCUUUUGGCUGGGCGAGGUCUCUCACACCUGUAAUCCCAGCACUGUGGGAGGGCGAGGUAGGUGGGUCACCUGAGGUCAGGAGUUCGAGAUCAGUGUGACCAAUAUAAUGAAAUUCCGUCUUUACUAAAAAUUUAAAAAUUUACAAAUUUGCCAGAUGUGAUGGUGUGGGCCUGUAGUCCCAGCUACUCAGGAGGCUGAGACAGGAGAAUCACUUGAACCUGGGAGGCAGAGGUUGCAGUGAUCCGAGAUUGUGCCACUGCACUCCAAGCCUGGGCAACAGAGUGAAACUCCAUCUCAAAAUUUAAAAAAAGUUAUCUUUCAUGGUAUGCCCACUUUAGAAUAAUUUCAAAGAUCUUUAGGUAACUCAAAACCUUGUACUCAUUUAAUUGAU
This 4372-nucleotide long non-coding RNA is filed under the name Homo sapiens (human). Its description in RNAcentral is "HSALNT0375483". Lineage: Eukaryota; Metazoa; Chordata; Mammalia; Primates; Hominidae. The record is from RNAcentral.